GUUGGCGGCGUGGAUUAGGCAUGCAAGUCGAACGAAUCCAGCUUUGUAGCAAUACCGAGCUGGGGGAAGUGGCGAAAGGGGCAGUAAUGCGUGGGUAACCUACCCCGGGGACCGGGAUAGCCACCCUAACGGGUGGGUAAUACCGGGCGAUGUAGCGAGAUCUCCUGACCUUGCUAUGAAACGAAUUUCGCCUCGUGAGGGGCUCACGUGGUAUUAGCUAGUUGGUGGGGUAACGGCCUACCAAGGCGAAGAUGCCUAGCAGGUGUGAGAGCACGACCUGCGCCACUGGCACUGAGACACUGGCCAGACUCCUACGGGAGGCUGCAGUCGAGGAUCUUCGGCAAUGGGCGCAAGCCUGACCGAGCGACGCCGCGUGCGCGAUGAAGGCCUUCGGGUUGUAAAGCGCUGUCGAGGGGGAGGAAAGCCGUUAA
This 431-nucleotide ribosomal RNA is filed under the name uncultured soil bacterium. Its description in RNAcentral is "bacterial SSU rRNA". It matches the Rfam family "Bacterial small subunit ribosomal RNA", at positions 35 to 458 of the family's 1533-position model. The record is from RNAcentral.